UAGCCGUAAACGAUACUCGCUAGGUGACGGCCACGGUGCGACCGUUGUCGGUGCCGUAGGGAAGCCGUGAAGCGAGCCACCUGGGAAGUACGGCCGCAAGGCUGAAACUUAAAGGAAUUGGCGGGGGAGCACCACAACGGGUGGAGCUUGCGGUUUAAUUUGGAUUCAACGCCGGAAAUCUUACCGGGACCGACAGCAACAUGAAGGCCAGGCUGAAGACUUUGCCGGAUUAGCUGAGAGGUGGUGCAUGGCGUAGUCGUGU
RNAcentral lists this ribosomal RNA (262 nucleotides) under uncultured archaeon. Its description in RNAcentral is "partial 16S ribosomal RNA". It matches the Rfam family "Archaeal small subunit ribosomal RNA", at positions 748 to 1009 of the family's 1478-position model. The record is from RNAcentral.